Molecule: long non-coding RNA, 541 nt
Filed under: Ananas comosus (pineapple)
Lineage: Eukaryota; Viridiplantae; Streptophyta; Magnoliopsida; Poales; Bromeliaceae
Description: long non-coding RNA (ACOM_LNC041670)
Source: RNAcentral
GAUCUCAAGCGAAACGGUACAUAAAAUAUUGCGACUUUUGCAAAAAUACCGUUUUCCCUACACCGACCUCUCCUCGAUCAACGCGCAAUCUCCGCAGAUCCGUCCGUCAGAUUUGCGAACGGAUUGCACCAGUGCAAUCAGCACCUCGGAGACAACAAAGCUACACUUCGUUUCGUCUCGAUCGACCACGGAUUCACGACAAAAUCCAACCUUCUUCCAAUAGAAGGAAUAACACACACAAAUACAUAUAAAACAUGUAUUUUUGGAUUUUCUCGAAAUCCGUGCGUCAAACUCAAAAUCCGUCAGUGCCACUAGUUCCAGAACAGCUGAACCGGUCGAAACGAGCUAUUGGACUGAUAUGAACGGAGUCCGAUACGCACCAGAAGCCAACGCUACUCCGUGGCUUCUCCGGAAAACCGGAGUUACUAUUCACUUAAGUGAAAACUAAAAGUCGCGUAUCUUCUCCAUUUUAGCUCAUUUUCGCCCGAAACUUGACGAGUGCUUAAAUAAUUAAAUUACACACAUAAACAUCAUCAACAGA